RNAcentral lists this ribosomal RNA (305 nucleotides) under uncultured bacterium. Its description in RNAcentral is "bacterial SSU rRNA". It matches the Rfam family "Bacterial small subunit ribosomal RNA", at positions 337 to 660 of the family's 1533-position model. The record is from RNAcentral.
UCCUACGGGAGGCAGCAGUGGGGAAUAUUGCACAAUGGGGGGAACCCUGAUGCAGCGAUGCCGCGUGGAGGAAGAAGGUUUUCGGAUUGUAAACUCCUUUUAUCAGGGACGAUAAUGACGGUACCUGAAGAAAAAGCUCCGGCUAACUACGUGCCAGCAGCCGCGGUAAUACGUAGGAUGCGAGCGUUAUCCGGAUUUAUUGGGUUUAAAGGGUGCGUAGGCGGAAUGCCAAGUCAGCGGUAAAAUCGCGGGGCUCAACCUCGCUCCGCCGUUGAAACUGGCGUUCUUGAGUGGGCGAGAAGUAU